RNAcentral lists this ribosomal RNA (537 nucleotides) under uncultured bacterium. RNAcentral's name for it is "bacterial SSU rRNA". It matches the Rfam family "Bacterial small subunit ribosomal RNA", at positions 355 to 896 of the family's 1533-position model. The record is from RNAcentral.
UGGGGAAUCUUGCGCAAUGGGCGAAAGCCUGACGCAGCGACGCCGCGUGGGGGAUGAAGCAUUUCGGUGUGUAAACCCCUUUCGACUGGGACGAAUGCCUCGCAAGAGGAGUGACGGUACCAGUAGAAGAAGCCCCGGCUAACUACGUGCCAGCAGCCGCGGUAAGACGUAGGGGGCCAGCGUUGUUCGGAAUUACUGGGUGUAAAGGGUUCGUAGGCGGUGUGGCAAGUUGGGAGUGAAAUCUCUGGGCUUAACCCAGAGGCUGCUUCCAAAACUGCUGUGCUUGAGUGUGGGAGAGGCGCGUGGAAUUGCAGGUGUAGCGGUGAAAUGCGUAGAUAUCUGCAGGAACACCCGUGGCGAAAGCGACGCGCUGGACCACAACUGACGCUGAGGAACGAAAGCUAGGGGAGCAAACAGGAUUAGAUACCCUGGUAGUCCUAGCCCUAAACGAUCAGGACUUGGGGUGCCACCCGUUCGGGUGUCGUCCCGGAGCUAACGCGUUAAGUCCUGCACCUGGGGAGUACGGUCGCAAGACUG